GACAGAGGGUGCAAACGUUGCUCGGAAUCACUGGGCGUAAAGGGCGCGUAGGCGGGGAUGUAAGUCGGGCGUGAAAUCCCCAGGCUCAACCUGGGAACUGCACUCGAAACUGCGUUUCUUGAGUAUCGGAGAGGAAAGCGGAAUUCCUGGUGUAGAGGUGAAAUUCGUAGAUAUCAGGAGGAACACCAGUGGCGAAAGGGCGGCUUUU
RNAcentral lists this ribosomal RNA (208 nucleotides) under uncultured bacterium. RNAcentral describes it as "partial 16S ribosomal RNA". It matches the Rfam family "Bacterial small subunit ribosomal RNA", at positions 524 to 729 of the family's 1533-position model. The record is from RNAcentral.